Long non-coding RNA from Gallus gallus (chicken), 542 nucleotides. RefSeq lists it as uncharacterized. NCBI's taxonomy places the organism in Eukaryota, Metazoa, Chordata, Aves, Galliformes, Phasianidae. The transcript is spliced from 3 exons. The record is from RefSeq and is a predicted model, not a curated record.
GGAAUUUUCCUCAUUCCUAUGAACAGUAAGGUUGUUUUCGUUAGCUAGGGAGGCAAUAAAUGUUUAUGCCUAAUUUAAGCAAUUGCAGACAGUACCUAUUAUGUUUGGAGUAGUGGAUUUUAACAGCAAAGACGAAUUGGAAAAAAAAAGUAUAACUGCCUUUUUAUUAAGACGUAAAUCCAUGGAGGUUUAAUUGGAAGGAGACAGGUGAAAGAGAGCAGUACUUUGCCUCCUUCCAGAAAUUCUCCCACGUAACAUUCUCAGCAGGGUAGUAAGUGCCAACAGAUUCCGCCAAGGAAACAAAAGACAGAAUGAUUUUAUCACAAGCACAGUUUUCACUGGGAAUCCUGUGAUCUGCAGGUGGGUCACUUAAUCACUGAAGGAGAUCAGCUUGGUCAUGCAGGACCUGCUUUUCCUGAAUCCAUGCUGACUGCUCUAAGCAACAAGAAGGCUAGAAGAAAAUGGACAUGCAAGAGCUGUAAGAAAGCAUCAGCUGUGGCAAAGGAAAAGGAAAGCUGCGUCUCUGCUCAAAAGGAUGCCAG